UACAGAGGUGGCAAACGUUGUUCGGAAUUACUGGGCGCAAAGGGCGCGUAGGCGGCCAUCUAAGUCAGACGUGAAAUCCCCCGGCUUAACCUGGGAACUGCGUCUGAUACUGGACGGCUUGAGUAUGGGAGAGGGAUGUAGAAUUCCGGGUGUAGCGGUGGAAUGCGUAGAGAUCCGGAGGAAGACCGGUGGCGAAGGCGGUCUGCUGGGCAGUUUCUGACACUGAUGCGCGACAGCGUGGGGAGCAAACAGG
This 253-nucleotide ribosomal RNA is filed under the name uncultured bacterium. RNAcentral's name for it is "partial 16S ribosomal RNA". It matches the Rfam family "Bacterial small subunit ribosomal RNA", at positions 524 to 776 of the family's 1533-position model. The record is from RNAcentral.